GAAGGCGUGGCUUCCGCGCUCUUUGAAAUGUCCGGCGCCGGAAUGUCUGGGUGCUUUGGUUGGAGAGGGUCCCAUUUCCAGUCAUUCUUCAGCCUGGUGAUUCCCGCGCUCCCCUGAGGAGCAUAUGAAGUACGUCGGUUCUGCCAGGUUGGAACGCGCUGCUGGACACUCGGCCGUAAGGCGGAUCCCGGAUCCCCUCCCACUCCGACCCUUCCCUCCAGAAGGGCCGGUUCCCAAACGGCCCCUUUAGACACAUCCAAGCGGUUGCCGACGGCCCUCACGAUGAAAACUGCUGUCCGUUGGUGAAGGCAGCCUCUUCUGUGCUCCUCGCCGCUGACUUCCUGAGGCGGACCUACCUGUGGAGGCAUACCAGGAACCAGACGAUGACCCCCUCCAAAAGUUGGGUCUUUGAGGAGAGCUACUAACUUGGGUUCCUGGUACACCCUCUACAUGCAGUGGUGAAGCUUAUCUAACAGUCAUUCAUAGAAUCAGUUUGGGAAGGGGAAUUUUCACUGAACUCUCAUAGAGAAACUGUGUUUUAGAUAACAGAAAGUUCUGCACGGUUAAAAUGGAACAGAAAUUUUUUUGCACAGAAAUUAGGAUUACCGAAAAUACUGAAGAAAGACUACCUCUGAUUGGACUCUUCUCAAGGAAUUAAUAAUUCAAGAACUAAGGAAAGAAAAAAGUGAUUAUAUGAAAAUACUGAAGUUGAUCGUAGCAGCUGAAGGCUGAUCCUGUAAUGUCACAUAAAUGGAAUCAUACUGUGUCCGGAAUUGGUGGGUUCUUGGUCUCACUGACUUCAAGAAUGACGCCAUGGGCCCUCGCGGUGAGUGUUACAGCUCUUAAGGUGGCGCGUCUGGAGUUUGUUCCUUCUGAUGUUCGGAUGUGUUCGGAGUUUCUUCCUUCUGGUGGGUUCGUGGUCUCGCUGGCUCAGGAGUGAAGCUGCAGACUUUCGCGAUUUCAUCUCUCUCUCUGCUAUGGACACAGAUGGCUUCACUCCAUCCUGUAUUCUUCGGACCAUGAUAAAAUUCCAGACUCUCGGUAGUUUUUGCGUUCCAAGAAGUAGAGCCUAGAGUGGUGGCCUAUAAUUACAGUUACUCAGGAGGCUGAGGCAGGAGGAUCCUUUGAGUCCAGCAGUUUGAGGCCAGCCUGGACACCACAGCAAGACCACCAAUAAAUAAAUAAAUAAAUGGAACAUG
This is a long non-coding RNA of Homo sapiens (human), 1199 nucleotides long. Ensembl annotates it as UBL7 divergent transcript. Its record names the gene UBL7-DT. Lineage: Eukaryota; Metazoa; Chordata; Mammalia; Primates; Hominidae. The record is from Ensembl.